Molecule: long non-coding RNA, 545 nt
Organism: Oryzias melastigma (Indian medaka)
Lineage: Eukaryota; Metazoa; Chordata; Actinopteri; Beloniformes; Adrianichthyidae
Exons: 2
Source: RefSeq, a predicted model, not a curated record
CAUAGAAACGUGGACUCUAAUCGACUGGAACCAAUCACUGCACGCAUCUGGCUCCAAAAUGGCGGUGUUCCGAAUGGCAGCUGAAAUGACUUCAUUUGGUUGGAAGAAAAAUAAUUUUCUAUGAUGAUGUCACACUUACUCAGUCCAGGAGGAUAAAGAAUCUUCUCCAUGAUGGAAUUCUCCUUCAAACCGGAAGUUAGGAUGGAGCUUCACGGAAGAGACAACGACCUCGGAGUAAAGAUACCUGCUAGCUAAAGUGGAGCUGUUUUCUGUCCGCUCAGAGCAGCAGAAGCAGCAGCUGCUCGGAGCUUUUUCUCCUCCAGACAAAAGCGGGACGAGAAUCUCAAACUCGCAUCCACGGAUCCUGAUGCUCCAUUAUGUCAUGACGUCCCACCAGAAGGUGAUGCGGUUGGUUUUCAGGGCCCGCAGGGAUCUCCGCAAGCUAACGGACAUAGCAAAAUGCUAACACGCAACACAAGAAGCGAAGCUGCCACCCUUUGAGUUGAUUUGAUGAAGAAACAAAUAAAUAAUCAGACUGUUGGUCA